Molecule: unclassified non-coding RNA, 25 nt
Filed under: Mus musculus (house mouse)
Lineage: Eukaryota; Metazoa; Chordata; Mammalia; Rodentia; Muridae
Description: oocyte_clustered_small_RNA12989
Source: RNAcentral
UGCAUGUAUUGAGUGGCCUUACAUA